GUGCCAGCCGCCGCGGUAAUACGGAGGAUGCAAGCGUUAUCCGGAUUUAUUGGGCGUAAAGCGUCCGCAGGUGGUUGAGCAAGUCUGCUGUCAAAGCGCGGAGCUUAACUCCGUAAAGGCAGUGGAAACUGUUUAACUUGAGUACGGUAGGGGUAGCGGGAAUUCCCAGUGUAGCGGUGAAAUGCGUAGAUAUUGGGAAGAACACCAGCGGCGAAAGCGCGCUACUGGGCCUGUACUGACACUGAGGGACGAAAGCUAGGGGAGCGAAAGGGAUUAGAUACCCCCGUAGUCC
This 292-nucleotide ribosomal RNA is filed under the name uncultured bacterium. RNAcentral describes it as "partial 16S ribosomal RNA". It matches the Rfam family "Bacterial small subunit ribosomal RNA", at positions 505 to 796 of the family's 1533-position model. The record is from RNAcentral.